UUUACAGUACAUAGCACCCUGAACAUGUCUGAUCUCAUCUGAUCUCAGAAGCUGAGCAGGGUCAGGCCUGGUUAGUGCUUCGAUAGGAAGUCAUAGGCUGUUUUUUGC
Molecule: ribosomal RNA, 108 nt
Filed under: Octodon degus (degu)
Lineage: Eukaryota; Metazoa; Chordata; Mammalia; Rodentia; Octodontidae
Source: RNAcentral